Erpetoichthys calabaricus (reedfish) is the source of this 119-nucleotide ribosomal RNA. The record is from Ensembl. NCBI's taxonomy places the organism in Eukaryota, Metazoa, Chordata, Cladistia, Polypteriformes, Polypteridae.
GCUUAUGGCCACACCAGUGUGAAUGCGCCCGAUCUCGUCUGAUUUUGGAAACUAAACACGCUUGGGCUCGGCCAGUACUUGGAUGGGAGACCGCCUGGGAACCCCGAGUGCUGUAAGCU